RNAcentral lists this long non-coding RNA (359 nucleotides) under Capsella grandiflora. RNAcentral describes it as "long non-coding RNA (CGRA_LNC000953)". Lineage: Eukaryota; Viridiplantae; Streptophyta; Magnoliopsida; Brassicales; Brassicaceae. The record is from RNAcentral.
AUAUAGGUAACAUUCAUUUUGGAGUAGCACUCACUGAAGCCACCGUUGAAAGUUCAAAGAAUGAAGUCAGUGUAACUUAUCGAAUUUGUUUUUCUCAAUCGACCACUGAGUAAUAAAUUUGAAUUUGUCAAUACUAUAUGCUGAUUUAUCAGAGAAGGUUCAUCUGGGAUACAACAAUAACAAUAUAUUAUAAAAUUUCAAUAUAUAUAAAUAUAUAUUAAGAUGAUUUAUUUUAUUGUUGUGACUAAUAAAUAUCAAGUAAGGUUUAUCCAAAGUUUUUGUGGUUUAUAAGAGACCACAAAACAACAACAAAAAAUCAUUAUCAAAACUUUGAGGUCUCUAUGCCUUUAUCAUCAAGA